CCUACGGGAGGCAGCAGUAGGGAAUAUUGGGCAAUGGAGGCAACUCUGACCCAGCCAUGCCGCGUGCAGGAAGACGGUCCUCUGGAUUGUAAACUGCUUUUGAAUGGGAAGAAUGUGCUCCUUGCGAGGGGUAAUGACGGUACCAUUAGAAUAAGCCACGGCUAACUACGUGCCAGCAGCCGCGGUAAUACGUAGGUGGCGAGCGUUAUCCGGAUUUAUUGGGUUUAAAGGGUGCGUAGGCGGCUUAAUAAGUCGGUGGUUAAAAGUAGCAGCUUAACUGUUUUACAUGCCAUCGAUACUGUUGAGCUUGAGAUAUUUGGAGGCAGCUAGAAUUUCCGGUGUAGCGGUGAAAUGCAUAGAUACCGGAAGGAAUACCAAUUGCGAAGGCAGGUUGCUACGAAUAAACUGACGCUGAUGCACGAAAGCGUGGGGAUCAAACAGGAUUAGAUACCCUGGUAGUCCACGCCGUAAACGAUGAUUACUAGUUGUUGGGGUUUAAGCCUCAGUGACCAAGGGAAACCGAUAAGUAAUCCACCUGGGAGUACGCCGGCAACGGUGAAACUCAAAGGAAUUGACGG
This 578-nucleotide ribosomal RNA is filed under the name uncultured bacterium. RNAcentral describes it as "bacterial SSU rRNA". It matches the Rfam family "Bacterial small subunit ribosomal RNA", at positions 338 to 916 of the family's 1533-position model. The record is from RNAcentral.